This 342-nucleotide unclassified non-coding RNA is filed under the name soil metagenome. RNAcentral describes it as "partial contains 5.8S ribosomal RNA, internal transcribed spacer 2, and large subunit ribosomal RNA". The stretch from base 1 to 120 matches the Rfam family "5.8S ribosomal RNA", at positions 35 to 154 of the family's 154-position model. The record is from RNAcentral.
GAUGAAGAACGUAGCGAAAUGCGAUAAGUAAUGUGAAUUGCAGAAUUCAGUGAAUCAUCGAAUCUUUGAACGCACAUUGCGCCCGCCAGUAUUCUGGCGGGCAUGCCUGUUCGAGCGUCAUUUCAACCCUCAGGCCCCGCCUGGCGUUGGGGAUCGGCGCGGCCCUCUCCGGGCUGCCGGCCCCGAAAACUAGUGGCGGUCUCGCUGUAGUCCUCCUCUGCGCAGUAGCAACGCUCGCACUGGAACUCGGCGCGGCCACGCCGUAAAACACCCCACUUCUGAAAGUUGACCUCGGAUCAGGUAGGAAUACCCGCUGAACUUAAGCAUAUAAUAAGCGGAGGA